GAUGAAGAACGUAGCGAAAUGCGAUAAGUAAUGCGAAUUGCAGAAUUCCAGUGAGUCAUCGAAUCUUUGAACGCACAUUGCGCCCUUUGGUAUUCCGAAGGGCAUGCCUGUUCGAGCGUCAUUAUCACCCCUCAAGCCCUCGGCUUGGUGUUGGACGGUUUGGUGGAGGCCCCCUCGGGGGCUCCUGCCCCUCCCAAAGACAAUGACGGCGGCCUCGUUGGACCCCCGGUACACUGAGUUCUUCACGGGACACGUAUCGGACACAUGGGUUUACGGGACACGGUCUGCCUCCCCUCAGGGAGAAUCUUUCUAAGGUUGACCUCGGAUCAGGUAGGGAUACCCGCUGAACUUAAGCAGAUCAAUAAGCAGAGGA
This 373-nucleotide unclassified non-coding RNA is filed under the name soil metagenome. RNAcentral describes it as "partial contains 5.8S ribosomal RNA, internal transcribed spacer 2, and large subunit ribosomal RNA". The stretch from base 1 to 121 matches the Rfam family "5.8S ribosomal RNA", at positions 35 to 154 of the family's 154-position model. The record is from RNAcentral.